UGGGGGAUAUUGCACAAUGGGCGAAAGCCUGAUGCAGCGACGCCGCGUGGGGGAUGAAGGCCUUCGGGUUGUAAACUUCUUUUGCUCUGAACAAGGCAUGCUAAUGGGUGUGUUGAGUGUAGGGGUUGAUUAGCGCCGGCUAACUACGUGCCAGCAGCCGCGGUAAUACGUAGGGCGCGAGCGUUGUCCGGAAUUAUUGGGCGUAAAGGGCUUGUAGGUGGCUGGUUGCGUCUGUCGUGAAAGCUCAUGGCUUAACUGUGGGUUUGCGGUGGGUACGGGCUGGCCUGAGUGCAGUAGGGGAGGCUGGAAUUCCUGGUGUAGCGGUGGAAUGCGCAGAUAUCAGGAGGAAUACCGGUGGCGAAGGCGGGUCUCUGGGCUGUUACUGACACUGAGGAGCGAAAGCAUGGGGAGCGAACAGG
RNAcentral lists this ribosomal RNA (419 nucleotides) under bacterium. RNAcentral describes it as "partial 16S ribosomal RNA". It matches the Rfam family "Bacterial small subunit ribosomal RNA", at positions 355 to 776 of the family's 1533-position model. The record is from RNAcentral.